UCCAAUCCUUGAUGGUGAUGCUAGC
RNAcentral lists this non-coding RNA (25 nucleotides) under Mus musculus (house mouse). Lineage: Eukaryota; Metazoa; Chordata; Mammalia; Rodentia; Muridae. The record is from RNAcentral.